Molecule: ribosomal RNA, 24 nt
Filed under: Fagus grandifolia subsp. mexicana
Lineage: Eukaryota; Viridiplantae; Streptophyta; Magnoliopsida; Fagales; Fagaceae
Description: partial 28S ribosomal RNA
Source: RNAcentral
CUCCCGACGCGACCCCAGGUCAGG